UACGUAGGGUGCAAGCGUUGUCCGGAAUUAUUGGGCGUAAAGAGCUCGUAGGCGGUCUGUCGCGUCUGCUGUGAAAACUCAGGGCUUAACCCUGAGCUUGCAGUGGGUACGGGCAGACUAGAGUGCGGUAGGGGAGACUGGAAUUCCUGGUGUAGCGGUGAAAUGCGCAGAUAUCAGGAGGAACACCGGGGGCGAAGGCGGGUCUCUGGGCCGUAACUGACGCUGAGGAGCGAAAGCAUGGGGGGCGAACAGG
Molecule: ribosomal RNA, 253 nt
Filed under: uncultured bacterium
Lineage: Bacteria
Description: partial 16S ribosomal RNA
Rfam family: Bacterial small subunit ribosomal RNA
Source: RNAcentral